GGUUAUAGCCAUAUGACUCUACACAUGCCUGAUUUUAUCUGAUCUUGGAAGCUAAGUAAGGUUGGGCCUGGUUGGGAUGGAAUUCUCUACCUAAGAAUAUUAAGUGCUAUAGGCU
RNAcentral lists this ribosomal RNA (115 nucleotides) under Phascolarctos cinereus (koala). The record is from RNAcentral. Lineage: Eukaryota; Metazoa; Chordata; Mammalia; Diprotodontia; Phascolarctidae.